ACGUAGGGGGCGAGCGUUGUCCGGAUUUAUUGGGCGUAAAGAGCUCGUAGGCGGCUUAGUAAGUCGGGUGUGAAACCUCCAGGCUCAACCUGGAGACGCCACCCGAUACUGCUAUAGCUAGAGUCCGGUAGGGGAGCGUGGAAUUCCUGGUGUAGCGGUGAAAUGCGCAGAUAUCAGGAGGAACACCAGCGGCGAAGGCGGCGCUCUGGGCCGGAACUGACGCUGAGGAGCGAAAGCGUGGGGAGCAAACAGGA
RNAcentral lists this ribosomal RNA (254 nucleotides) under uncultured prokaryote. Its description in RNAcentral is "partial 16S ribosomal RNA". It matches the Rfam family "Bacterial small subunit ribosomal RNA", at positions 525 to 777 of the family's 1533-position model. The record is from RNAcentral.